Molecule: ribosomal RNA, 450 nt
Filed under: uncultured Bacillota bacterium
Lineage: Bacteria; Bacillati; Bacillota
Description: bacterial SSU rRNA
Rfam family: Bacterial small subunit ribosomal RNA
Source: RNAcentral
UUUCGGGUCGUAAACUUUUGUCUUUCGGGAAGAAAAAAAUGACGGUACCGAAGGAGGAAGCCACGGCUAACUACGUGCCAGCAGCCGCGGUAAUACGUAGGUGGCGAGCGUUGUCCGGAAUUACUGGGUGUAAAGGGUGCGUAGGCGGGGAUGCAAGUCAGAUGUGAAAGACCGGGGCUCAACUCCGGGGCUGCAUUUGAAACUGCAACUCUUGAGUGCAGGAGAGGAAAGCGGAAUUCCUAGUGUAGCGGUGAAAUGCGUAGAGAUUAGGAGGAACACCAGUGGCGAAGGCGGCUUUCUGGACUGUAACUGACGCUGAGGCACGAAAGCGUGGGGAGCGAACAGGAUUAGAUACCCUGGUAGUCCACGCUGUAAACGAUGGAUACUAGGUGUAGGGGGUAUCGACCCCCUCUGUGCCGGAGUUAACACAAUAAGUAUCCCACUGGGGAG